CGAACGGGUGAGUAAUAUAUCGGAACGUGCCCUAGAGUGGGGGAUAACUAGUCGAAAGAUUAGCUAAUACCGCAUACGAUCUACGGAUGAAAGUGGGGGAUCGCAAGACCUCAUGCUCGUGGAGCGGCCGAUAUCUGAUUAGCUAGUUGGUGAGGUAAAGGCUCACCAAGGCAUCGAUCAGUAGCUGGUCUGAGAGGACGACCAGCCACACUGGGACUGAGACACGGCCCAGACUCCUACGGGAGGCAGCAGUGGGGAAUUUUGGACAAUGGGGGCAACCCUGAUCCAGCAAUGCCGCGUGAGUGAAGAAGGCCUUCGGGUUGUAAAGCUCUUUUGUCAGGGAAGAAACGGUGAGGGCUAAUAUCCUUUGCUAAUGACGGUACCUGAAGAAUAAGCACCGGCUAACUACGUGCCAGCAGCCGCGGUAAUACGUAGGGUGCAAGCGUUAAUCGGAAUUACUGGGCGUAAAGCGUGCGCAGGCGGUUAUGCAAGACAGAUGUGAAUCCCCGGGCUCAACCUGGGAAUUGCAUUUGUGACUGUAUGGCUAGAGUGUGUCAGAGGGGGGUAGAAUUCCACGUGUAGCAGUGAAAUGCGUAGAUAUGUGGAGGAAUACCGAUGGCGAAGGCAGCCCCCUGGGAUAACA
Molecule: ribosomal RNA, 643 nt
Filed under: uncultured beta proteobacterium
Lineage: Bacteria; Pseudomonadati; Pseudomonadota; Betaproteobacteria
Description: bacterial SSU rRNA
Rfam family: Bacterial small subunit ribosomal RNA
Source: RNAcentral